Long non-coding RNA from Hippocampus zosterae (dwarf seahorse), 890 nucleotides. RefSeq lists it as uncharacterized. The transcript is spliced from 3 exons. The record is from RefSeq and is a predicted model, not a curated record. NCBI's taxonomy places the organism in Eukaryota, Metazoa, Chordata, Actinopteri, Syngnathiformes, Syngnathidae.
UCGCUGUAUUUUAACCCACAAUGGCCGAAGGAGAAGACGUUGAUCUGGUUGCAGAACUACUUUCCACACAAUUUUCAAGACGGGUCUUCCACGAAGAGCUGGAUCUUGUGCGAAGAGGUCGCCCAACUCCUGCGCUAGCUAGCCUGUCCCAGCAAGGAAAAGGGUUUGUCCGUCAUUUUCAGACGAACAAUUAUGAACGGUACCCGUGGCUCACAGCCUCUGAGAAACGCUGCAAAUUGUACUGCUGAGAAUGCCUAUUGCUUGCAACUGACCGAUUUGGUGUUAUGAGCCACACUGGAUUUAACCAUUUAAAUUGUUUUACCAAGGCAGCAAGGAAACAUCAGAGCACGACUGGGCAGUUACAAGCUACGGUGCGUUUAAUUAAAAACGUUUGGGGACACUCGCGUAGAUCUGCAGCUCAGUGAACGGACACGCCGGGAGAAGGAGCUCAACAACGAAAAAGUAAAAUAAAUUAAAAAAAUAGGGAGAUUAAAAUUAUGCCAGAAACACGACCGGACAAAAACGGCUUUUAGCAUUAGCUUCCAUGUCGAUUGAAAAGGACUUGCUGAUGGACCUGAAACGAACAGAAAAACUACAACAGAGCCACUGAAGUGUUCCUGAGAAAAAGGAGGAUCGAUUUUAUUUUCAAAUAAGCUGACGCUGUGGAAAACUACAUUGAAUGCUGAGUGAAAAACCUCGAGGAACUCUCGCUCACCUUGCAGAACAAAAACAUUUGGAGAUCUUUUUCAGCGUAAAAUCACAGAAGCUAAUCGAGUCCCUGGCCCAGACAAAUAACUCUUGCGUGACUAAUUGCCAGUUGAGGCUGCUGAACCUGUGCCCGAUAAUGCUGAACACUGCUGAGAAAGAAACCCAAAAAAAAGUGACUCACG